CAAAUCAUUCUUUCUCUUUUACACGGUUAGUGAAAGAUCCAAAAUUUGAGGUCAAAUUGCUCCCUAUGGUGAUGCAAAGGUUUGAAAAGUGUUUUGGAUGAUUGAAGAGCGAUGGAGUAUUGACUAGUUUUUUUUUGAACCAGCUGACUCCCUAAAUGCCAUCCAAGCAAUCAAUGAUGGGGCCACGGGGAGCAGUUUGGGGCAUCUCAUCCAAGGAAUUCUCCAGGUGAGUGUUUCUUUUGAGUCCUGACUCUUCAAGCACAUUAAUAGAUGUUUCAACUCUGUGGCUCUCGAGCUUGCUCAAUAUGCUCGAAGAUCUGGUCUCCAAAACCUCUGGAAAGGAGUUGCGCCCCACUUUGUUUCUUCUUUUCUGCAAUCUGAUAUGAAUGUAAUCUGAAUGUAUUCUGUUGUCUCUGACCUGCUAUGCAGGAACCUUUGUUUGUAUUGUUUCAUGGUUUAAUGCCAAUAUAUU
Long non-coding RNA from Quercus robur (English oak), 472 nucleotides. RefSeq lists it as uncharacterized. The transcript has 2 exons. The record is from RefSeq and is a predicted model, not a curated record. Lineage: Eukaryota; Viridiplantae; Streptophyta; Magnoliopsida; Fagales; Fagaceae.